GUGGGGAAUAUUGGACAAUGGGCGCAAGCCUGAUCCAGCCAUGCCGCGUGAGUGAUGAAGGCCUUAGGGUUGUAAAGCUCUUUCAGUAGGGAAGAUAAUGACGGUACCUACAGAAGAAGCCCCGGCUAACUUCGUGCCAGCAGCCGCGGUAAUACGAAGGGGGCUAGCGUUGUUCGGAUUUACUGGGCGUAAAGCGCACGUAGGCGGAUUGUUAAGUCAGAGGUGAAAUCCUGGAGCUCAACUCCAGAACUGCCUUUGAUACUGGCAAUCUCGAGUCCGGAAGAGGUGAGUGGAACUCCUAGUGUAGAGGUGGAAUUCGUAGAUAUUAGGAAGAACACCAGUGGCGAAGGCGGCUCACUGGUCCGGUACUGACGCUGAGGUGCGAAAGCGUGGGGAGCAAACAGGAUUAGAAACCCGUGUAGUCC
RNAcentral lists this ribosomal RNA (425 nucleotides) under uncultured bacterium. RNAcentral describes it as "bacterial SSU rRNA". It matches the Rfam family "Bacterial small subunit ribosomal RNA", at positions 354 to 796 of the family's 1533-position model. The record is from RNAcentral.